UCCGGUUUGACACCGGCAGUCCCGCUAGAGUGCGUUACCCGAAGGUAACUAGCAACUAGAGGCAGGGGUUUCGCUCGUUAGAGGACUUAACCCGACACUUCACAGCACGAGCUGACGACAGCCAUGCAGCACCUGUGCACGUUCCAUCUUGCGAUGUCAGCUCCCUUUCAGGAGCCUAAUCCGUGCAUGUCAAGCCUUGGAUAAGGUUCUUCGCGUUGCUUCGAAUUGAGCCGCAUGCUCCACCGCUUGUGUGAGCCCCCGUCAAUUCCUUUGAGUUUUAGCCUUGCGACCGUACUCCCCAGGCACCUAGUGCCCAUCGUUUACGGCGUGGACUAC
This 336-nucleotide unclassified non-coding RNA is filed under the name uncultured Phycisphaeraceae bacterium. RNAcentral describes it as "contains 16S-23S intergenic spacer region". Lineage: Bacteria; Pseudomonadati; Planctomycetota; Phycisphaerae; Phycisphaerales; Phycisphaeraceae. The record is from RNAcentral.